CAACAAUCAGUGCUAGUGAGGUGUAAUAGGCCCCAACAAUCAGUGCUAGUGGGGUGUAAUAGGCCCCAACAAUCAGUGCUAGUGGGGUGGAAUAGGCCCCAACAAUCAGUGCUAGUGGGGUG
Homarus americanus (American lobster) is the source of this 122-nucleotide long non-coding RNA. RefSeq lists it as uncharacterized. The record is from RefSeq and is a predicted model, not a curated record. Lineage: Eukaryota; Metazoa; Arthropoda; Malacostraca; Decapoda; Nephropidae. The transcript has 4 exons.